UUAACACAAUGCAAUUUGGCUAAGAUCAAAUGUUAUAUCUGUUCUUAUCAGUUUAGUAUCUGAUACGUCCCCUACCUGGGAGCCAAAUAUGAAAUUGAUUUUUGGGACAGGGAGAUGAACAGGGGCUUGCCCAUUCCACUCACGCAUCAACCUGGUAUUGCAGUGUCUCCAGGAAUGGUGCAGUUUCC
Molecule: small nuclear RNA, 188 nt
Organism: Carcharodon carcharias (great white shark)
Lineage: Eukaryota; Metazoa; Chordata; Chondrichthyes; Lamniformes; Lamnidae
Product: U2 spliceosomal RNA
Exons: 1
Source: RefSeq, a predicted model, not a curated record